CCUGGCUCAGGAUGAACGCUGGCGGCGUGCCUAACACAUGCAAGUCGAACGAGAAGCCUGAUUUCGAUUAGGUGGAGAGUGGCGCACGGGUGAGUAACACAUGGCUGACCUGCCCUUCAGAGGGGGACAACCACCGGAAACGGUGGCUAAUACCCCAUACGCUCGCCGUGAUUAGCAGGCGGUGAGGAAACCUUCGGGGCUGAGGGAGGGGGCUGUGGCCCAUCAGCUAGUUGGUAGGGUAACGGCCUACCAAGGCGAAGACGGGUAGGGGGCCUGAGAGGGUGACCCCCCACACGGGCACUGAGACACGGGCCCGACUUCUACGGAAGGCAGCAGUGAGGGAUAUUGCCCAAUGGACGGAAGUCUGAGGCAGCAACGCCGCGUGCGGGAUGAAGGCCUUCGGGUUGUAAACCGCUUUUCUGCGCGAAGAGGAAGGACGGUAGCGCAGGAAGAAGUCUCGGCUAACUACGUGCCAGCAGCCGCGGUAAAACGUAGGAGGCGAGCGUUAUCCGGAUUUACUGGGUGUAAAGCGCGUGCAGGCGGUCAUGUAAGUGGUGCGUGAAAGCGCCCGGCUCAACCGGGCGAGGCCGUGCCAAACUGCGUGACUGGAGGCAGGUAGAGGCGCGUGGAAUUCCGGGUGUAGUGGUGAAAUGCGUAGAUAUCCGGAGGAACACCAGUGGCGAAGGCGGCGCGCUGGGCCUGACCUGACGCUAAGACGCGAAAGCAUGGGGAGCGAACGGGAUUAGAAACCCCGGUAGUCCAUGCUGUAAACGCUGCAGACUAGGUGUUGCGUGCGACGAGUAUGCAGUGCCGAAGCCAACGUGAUAAGUCUGCCACCUGGGGACUACG
This 849-nucleotide ribosomal RNA is filed under the name uncultured organism. Its description in RNAcentral is "bacterial SSU rRNA". It matches the Rfam family "Bacterial small subunit ribosomal RNA", at positions 18 to 884 of the family's 1533-position model. The record is from RNAcentral.